CCUGUUGAGCUACACCUCUAACCACUAAAUAGUGGCAUAGCACAAUGACAGACACCUUUGGGUGUGACGAAGGGUUUUGCGUCAAGAGGCUGCAGAUUGUUUGUUUGUUUGUUUGUUUUCAUGAGCUACACCUCUAACCACUCCUAAUAAAGCCUGCUUACACUUCGGGUGAACCAAUUGUCAUGACAGACUCUAUUCUCAUUAAGGCUAUUACUGACAGAGUUACAGGGACAAAUUUUCAGUGUUUAAAUUUGACAGUCAUGAGUUUCAAGAAUAAAACAAGGUUUGAUUUUUCUAAAUAUGACAAGAUCAGUUUUGCUUAUCUCACAAUAUUAUGUCUAUGGCUGGGGCUCAGUGCAUACACAGCACAAGCACAAACAACAGCAGAAACAACUACAUCUAUACUGAAUAAUGCUCCAACAAGUACGAUUCUGGAUUCAACAACUACAGAGGAUAAAACAAGCCCUACAAAUGUAGCAUCCACUACAUCAACAGAAUUUACAAAUACAAAUAUGAGUACAACUCAAGAUACAACAAGCAAGGAAACAACAGAAUUAACCACCUCAGGUUUGUACACAACACAACCUACAACACCACCAACAUCAGCAGAAACAACCACAUUGACAACGACUAGCACCCCAACAAGUACAAUUCCUGAGACAACCACUGCAGCAACUGAAGAAUCCACUACAUCACCAGACACUUUUACAACUGAAACAUCAACUACAACACCAACAGAAUCUGCCACCACAACUAUAUACACAACAAAACCUACAACACCACCAACAUCAG
Long non-coding RNA from Tachysurus fulvidraco (yellow catfish), 792 nucleotides. RefSeq lists it as uncharacterized. The record is from RefSeq and is a predicted model, not a curated record. The transcript is spliced from 3 exons. NCBI's taxonomy places the organism in Eukaryota, Metazoa, Chordata, Actinopteri, Siluriformes, Bagridae.